RNAcentral lists this ribosomal RNA (459 nucleotides) under uncultured bacterium. RNAcentral's name for it is "partial 16S ribosomal RNA". It matches the Rfam family "Bacterial small subunit ribosomal RNA", at positions 338 to 795 of the family's 1533-position model. The record is from RNAcentral.
CCUACGGGAGGCUGCAGUGAGGAAUAUUGGUCAAUGGGCGCGAGCCUGAACCAGCCAAGUAGCGUGAAGGAUGACUGCCCUACGGGUUGUACACUUCUUUUAUAAGGGAAUAAACUGCGGCACGUGUGCCUUUUUGUAUGUACUUUAUGAAUAAGCAUCGGCUAACUCCGUGCCAGCAGCCGCGGUAAUACGGAGGAUCCGAGCGUUAUCCGGUUUUAUUGGGUUUAAAGGGGGCGUGGUUGGGUGGUUAAGUCAGUGGUGAAAGUUGCGGCUUAAACGUAAAAUUGCAGUUGAUACUGGCAGUCUUGAGUACAGUUGAGGUAGGCGGAAUUCGUGGUGUAGCGGUGAAAUGCUUAGAUAUCACGAAGAACUCCGAUUGCGAAGGCAGCUUACUAAACUGCCACUGACAUUGAUGCUCGAAAGUGUGGGUAUCAAACAGGAUUAGAUACCCUAGUAGUC